GUGGGGAAUAUUGGACAAUGGGGGGAACCCUGAUCCAGCCAUGCCGCGUGUGUGAAGAAGGCCUUUUGGUUGUAAAGCACUUUAAGCGGGGAGGAGGCUCUUGAGGAUAAUACCCUUGAUGAGUGGACGUUACCCGCAGAAUAAGCACCGGCUAACUCUGUGCCAGCAGCCGCGGUAAUACAGAGGGUGCGAGCGUUAAUCGGAUUUACUGGGCGUAAAGCGUGCGUAGGCGGCUGAAUAAGUCGGAUGUGAAAUCCCCGAGCUUAACUUGGGAAUUGCAUACGAUACUGUUUGGCUAGAGUAUGGGAGAGGAUGGUAGAAUUCCAGGUGUAGCGGUGAAAUGCGUAGAGAUCUGGAGGAAUACCGAUGGCGAAGGCAGCCAUCUGGCCUAAUACUGACGCUGAGGUACGAAAGCAUGGGGAGCAAACAGGAUUAGAAACCCUUGUAGUCC
This 451-nucleotide ribosomal RNA is filed under the name uncultured bacterium. RNAcentral describes it as "partial 16S ribosomal RNA". It matches the Rfam family "Bacterial small subunit ribosomal RNA", at positions 354 to 796 of the family's 1533-position model. The record is from RNAcentral.